GAUGAACGCUGGCGGCGUGCUUAACACAUGCAAGUCGAACGAUGAUGCCCAGCUUGCUGGGUGGAUUAGUGGCGAACGGGUGAGUAACACGUGAGUAACCUGCCCUUGACUCUGGGAUAAGCCUGGGAAACUGGGUCUAAUACCGGAUACGACCAUCUGGCGCAUGUCAUGGUGGUGGAAAGCUUUUGUGGUUUUGGAUGGACUCGCGGCCUAUCAGCUUGUUGGUGGGGUAAUGGCCUACCAAGGCGACGACGGGUAGCCGGCCUGAGAGGGUGACCGGCCACACUGGGACUGAGACACGGCCCAGACUCAGACGGGAGGCAGCAGUGGGGAAUAUUGCACAAUGGGCGCAAGCCUGAUGCAGCGACGCCGCGUGAGGGAUGACGGCCUUCGGGUUGUAAACCUCUUUCAGUAGGGAAGAAGCGAAAGUGACGGUACCUGCAGAAGAAGCGCCGGCGAACUACGU
This 466-nucleotide ribosomal RNA is filed under the name uncultured bacterium. RNAcentral describes it as "partial 16S ribosomal RNA". It matches the Rfam family "Bacterial small subunit ribosomal RNA", at positions 28 to 506 of the family's 1533-position model. The record is from RNAcentral.